RNAcentral lists this ribosomal RNA (253 nucleotides) under uncultured bacterium. Its description in RNAcentral is "partial 16S ribosomal RNA". It matches the Rfam family "Bacterial small subunit ribosomal RNA", at positions 524 to 776 of the family's 1533-position model. The record is from RNAcentral.
UACGUAGGGGGCAAGCGUUGUCCGGAUUUAUUGGGCGUAAAGAGCGUGUAGGCGGCCAGGCAGGUCCGCUGUGAAAACUCGAGGCUCAACCUCGAGACGCCGGUGGAAACCAUCAGACUAGAGUCCGGAAGAGGAGAGUGGAAUUCCUGGUGUAGCGGUGAAAUGCGCAGAUAUCAGGAAGAACACCCGUGGCUAAGGCGGCUCUCUAGUACGGUACUGACGCUGAGACGCGAAAGCGUGGGGAGCGAACAGG